RNAcentral lists this ribosomal RNA (468 nucleotides) under uncultured bacterium. RNAcentral describes it as "partial 16S ribosomal RNA". It matches the Rfam family "Bacterial small subunit ribosomal RNA", at positions 28 to 507 of the family's 1533-position model. The record is from RNAcentral.
GACGAACGCUGGCGGCGUGCUUAACACAUGCAAGUCGAGCGGAAAGGCCCUGCUUUUGUGGGGUGCUCGAUUGGCGAACGGGUGAGUAACACGUGAGUAACCUGCCCUUGACUGUGGGAUAACUUCAGGAAACUGGGGCGAAUACCGGAUAGGAGCUCCUGCUGCAUGGUGGGGGUUGGAAAGUUUCGGCGGUUGGGGAUGGACUCGCGGCUUAUCAGCUUGUUGGUGGGGUAGUGGCUUACCAAGGCUUUGACGGGUAGCCGGCCUGAGAGGGUGACCGGCCACCUUGGGCCUGAGAUACGGCCCAGACUCCUACGGGACGCAGCAGUGGAGAAUAUUGCACAAUGGGCGGAAGCCUGAUGCAGAAACGCCGCGUGCGGGAUGCCGGCUUUCGGGUUGUAAACCGCUUUCGCCUGUGACGAAGCGUGAGUGACGGUAAUGGGUCAAGAAGCACCGGCUAACUACGUG